CCCCCUUUCCGGGGGGCCGGGGUUGACCCUAGACCUCCCACCCUUGUCGAUCGUACCGUGUUGCUUCGGCGGGCCCGCCAUUGGCCGCCGGGGGGCUGGGGCUCGCGACUUGUGAGCGCCGCCCCCGGGCCCGUGCCCGCCGGAGACCUCCCUCGAAAUGCUACUGUGGUCAGAAAUGCUGUCUGAGUGGGAAUGAUGUGAGAAAUUGAUCAGUCAAAACUUUCAACAAUGGAUCUCUUGGUUCCGGCAUCGAUGAAGAACGCAGCGAAAUGCGAUAAGUAAUGCGAAUUGCAGAAUUCCGUGAGUCAUCGAAUCUUUGAACGCACAUUGCGCCCCCCGGCUUCCCGGGGGGCAUGCCUGUCCGAGCGUCAUUGCCAUCCCCUCAAGCUCCGCUUGGCUGGUUGGGCCGACGUCCACCCGUGGCUUUGUGCCGGGGGGGACGGGCCCGAAAGGCAGUGGCGGCUCCCGGAGGGUGGUCCCUUGGGGCGGUUGAUACAUGGGUUGUCAUCUUCCACCGCUCCGUUGGCCACGCUCCGGGGGUCCAGUCGAACGAUUGGUCUUCCCCUUUAGGUUGACCUCGGAUCAGGUAGGGAUACCCGCUGAACUUAAGCAUAUCAAU
RNAcentral lists this ribosomal RNA (619 nucleotides) under uncultured Elaphomyces. RNAcentral's name for it is "eukaryotic LSU rRNA". The stretch from base 218 to 371 matches the Rfam family "5.8S ribosomal RNA". Lineage: Eukaryota; Fungi; Ascomycota; Eurotiomycetes; Eurotiales; Elaphomycetaceae. The record is from RNAcentral.